This 429-nucleotide ribosomal RNA is filed under the name Acidobacteriota bacterium. Its description in RNAcentral is "Acidobacteria bacterium partial 16S ribosomal RNA". It matches the Rfam family "Bacterial small subunit ribosomal RNA", at positions 355 to 776 of the family's 1533-position model. The record is from RNAcentral. Lineage: Bacteria; Pseudomonadati; Acidobacteriota.
UGGGGAAUUUUGGACAAUGGGGGAAACCCCGAUCCAGCCAUCCCGCGUGUGCGAUGAAGGCCUUCGGGUUGUAAAGCACUUUUGGCAGGAAAGAAACGUCAUGGGUUAAUACCCCGUGAAACUGACGGUACCUGCAGAAUAAGCACCGGCUAACUACGUGCCAGCAGCCGCGGUAAUACGUAGGGUGCAAGCGUUAAUCGGAAUUACUGGGCGUAAAGCGUGCGCAGGCGGUUCGGAAAGAAAGAUGUGAAAUCCCAGAGCUCAACUUUGGAACUGCAUUUUUAACUGCCGGGCUAGAGUGUGUCAGAGGGAGGUGGAAUUCCGCGUGUAGCAGUGAAAUGCGUAGAUAUGCGGAGGAACACCGAUGGCGAAGGCAGCCUCCUGGGAUAACACUGACGCUCAUGCACGAAAGCGUGGGGAGCAAACAGG